AACGACUCUCGGCAACGGAUAUCUCGGCUCUCGCAUCGAUGAAGAACGUAGCGAAAUGCGAUACUUGGUGUGAAUUGCAGAAUCCCGUGAACCAUCGAGUCCUUUGAACGCAAGUUGCGCCCGAAGCCAUCAGGCCGAGGGCACGUCUGCCUGGGCGUCACGC
Molecule: ribosomal RNA, 163 nt
Filed under: Scutellaria barbata
Lineage: Eukaryota; Viridiplantae; Streptophyta; Magnoliopsida; Lamiales; Lamiaceae
Description: 5.8S ribosomal RNA
Rfam family: 5.8S ribosomal RNA
About the family: 5.8S ribosomal RNA (5.8S rRNA) is a component of the large subunit of the eukaryotic ribosome. It is transcribed by RNA polymerase I as part of the 45S precursor that also contains 18S and 28S rRNA.
Source: RNAcentral